GUAUGUGUGCCUGCUUUGUCCACAGCAUGUGCUGAAUGAAUCACAUUUCUUGCAACUGAAAUGCAAAUGGCAUGGUGAAGUUCAUGUGACAUGACACAUGCUUGAGAUUCAUGAUGUGCAAGUACCAUGAGGGAAAUGUGAACAGGACUGUGGAAAGAGAAUUAAAUAAAGCCUGCAAUUGCUGGACAUGAAAGCAAGCGUAGACAUUCAUCGAAGUGUUACUGCAUCUUUACACCACCUUUAUGGUUACUGUAUGCUUUACAUUACAACACAAAUAAUGAAGUGCGUGUGUGUGUGUGUGUGUCUACUUUGCUUCAAUUGUUUCCACCUGGGAUCACUUGAAACAUUGUCUGAGCACUCUUCAGUAUCACUAUGUGUACACCAGUAUAUUCCACUCCUUGUUGGCACACAUGUGAGGAUGAUGUGUUUAUGUGCCAUACUUCUGUGUUCACGAAACAUGUUGUGCACAUCUUCACUUGACCCG
RNAcentral lists this ribosomal RNA (484 nucleotides) under Ostreopsis sp. ORUS. RNAcentral's name for it is "partial 28S ribosomal RNA". It matches the Rfam family "Eukaryotic large subunit ribosomal RNA", at positions 223 to 651 of the family's 3401-position model. Lineage: Eukaryota; Dinophyceae; Peridiniales; Ostreopsidaceae. The record is from RNAcentral.